This 1543-nucleotide long non-coding RNA is filed under the name Jatropha curcas. Its description in RNAcentral is "long non-coding RNA (JCUR_LNC003432)". Lineage: Eukaryota; Viridiplantae; Streptophyta; Magnoliopsida; Malpighiales; Euphorbiaceae. The record is from RNAcentral.
UUCUGUAUCCAAAGACAAAAAGGGAUCAACAAAAAAAGAAGAAGAAAAAAGAGAUCAAAUUUCAAUAGUUCUGCAAAAUUGAGGCUGCAUAACAUCACUGCAAAAUCAAAAUCACCAACAAUAAUAGAUGAUCUCUUUCAAGAUGAAUUUUCAGGGUUGAUCUGUUCUUGGAAAAUAAGGAUUGCAAGAAAAAAACAAUUGCGCAGACAACGAAAUGUCCACCAUUUCAUGGUUACAGAAAUGCCAACUGCAAUUACCAAUUGUAGGUCCAGGCCAUAAAAACAGAGUUCAAGAAUAGCCUAUGACAUAAAUAGUCAUAGAUUAUGACCCUUCCUUUCCAGCACAGCUGGUUGCUAAUCGCAUUAGAAUAAUCUUCAUCUAAGCUCGAACAUGUUCUUAACCGCCAAAAAGAGUCAGAAUACAUGCAUUUAACAUGCCUUUACCUGGUUUUUUCUCCUUUACGUAAUAACAAUACUGGUACUUUUACUGUAUUGCUGCAGAGAUUAGCUCAAUACAGGCAGAAGUUAGAUGAGAUGUUGCAUUAAGAUAUCCAAGAAUUGGUAAGCUUUAAUUGUUUCUUGUUAUCUACAAACUACAGCUUCAACCUGAUUUAAUGUUACGCCUUUUUGGUUCCAACUCCUUAAACAAUUUCGAACAUUUUCCUCUUCAGGGGGCUACCUACAAUUGCAUCACAAUCUCCAUGCUGUUAGUCCUCAUAAACCUAAAGAAGAAAAUGAAGGGUAGAUAUGCGUUGCGGCAAAUGUUCUGAACAACUAGAAAGUUGCUACUGCAUUUUGUGUAACUUGCGUGUUGGGUCAGUCAAGUCUUGUUUAGAGUCCUUGGCCGUGUUUCCUCUCAGGCUAUUAUGUAGGUGCCUGGGAAAUUCUGUUGUUCUUCAAAUCUUGUAAAAGAUGUAUUUGAAUAAAUAAGAGCAUAGUUCAUAUAAGAUGUUCCGCUUCCUAGUUAUUACAAAUUUGAUAAAAGUGAUACACGAGUAGUUUUUUCUCUCGUUAUGUUAAUUGUUCUUUCUAGCAAAGCCAUUAAUGAAUCCACUGCAAUGAAAAGUGAACCAGUUUUUCUUCACGUAAAUGACCAAUAUGUUGUUACAGUUUUUCUUUAUUCAAAGCUUUUCUGUAUCCAAAGACAAAAAGGGAUCAACAAAAAAAGAAGAAGAAAAAAGAGAUCAAAUUUCAAUAGUUCUGCAAAAUUGAGGCUGCAUAACAUCACUGCAAAAUCAAAAUCACCAACAAUAAUAGAUGAUCUCUUUCAAGAUGAAUUUUCAGGGUUGAUCUGUUCUUGGAAAAUAAGGAUUGCAAGAAAAAAACAAUUGCGCAGACAACGAAAUGUCCACCAUUUCAUGGUUACAGAAAUGCCAACUGCAAUUACCAAUUGUAGGUCCAGGCCAUAAAAACAGAGUUCAAGAAUAGCCUAUGACAUAAAUAGUCAUAGAUUAUGACCCUUCCUUUCCAGCACAGCUGGUUGCUAAUCGCAUUAGAAUAAUCUUCAUCUAAGCUCGAACAUGUUCUUAACCGCCAAAAAGAGU